GGUUUUGAGGGCAUCAAUUUACAUGUUAGAUACGCCGGAGAAUAUUAUUUACUGUAUUACCUGAAAAUAUUUUCGAGGGAUGUUCGGCCAUAUCAACACCAUUUGCUCCGUAUUUUUUAUGGUGGCAGUGGUCAGAAACGUGAAAGCUCAAACUGACGGUCGAAAUUAUCCACAACCCCCGUAUUACAAUAAUCCAUUUCCGUCCAAGGAUUAUCCAGCGAGCCAGUAUGGAAGCAAGUAUGGUUAUACCCAAGACGCUUCCUAUCCCGGUCCUUCACCACCGAUGAGCUAUCCUGCUUUUCCGCCGUACAACGCACCUCCCUAUAACCAACCUUCAUACAACAACUAUUCCAAACCAGCCUCGCCGGUUUAC
This is a long non-coding RNA of Paramacrobiotus metropolitanus, 373 nucleotides long. RefSeq lists it as uncharacterized. The record is from RefSeq and is a predicted model, not a curated record. Lineage: Eukaryota; Metazoa; Tardigrada; Eutardigrada; Parachela; Macrobiotidae. The transcript has 3 exons.